AGCAGUUCUCAAUACCGGGAGAGGCACAGAGCUAUUUCAGCCACAUGAAAAGCAUCGGAAUUGAGAUCGCAGCUCAGAGGACACCGGGCGCCCCUUCCACCUUCCAAGGAGCUUUGUAUUCUUGCAUCUGGCUGCCUGGGACUUCCCUUAGGCAGUAAACAAAUACAUAAAGCAGGGAUAAGACUGCAUGAAUAUGUCGAAACAGCCAGUUUCCAAUGUUAGAGCCAUCCAGGCAAAUAUCAAUAUUCCAAUGGGAGCCUUUCGGCCAGGAGCAGGUCAACCCCCCAGAAGAAAAGAAUGUACUCCUGAAGUGGAGGAGGGUGUUCCUCCCACCUCGGAUGAGGAGAAGAAGCCAAUUCCAGGAGCGAAGAAACUUCCAGGACCUGCAGUCAAUCUAUCGGAAAUCCAGAAUAUUAAAAGUGAACUAAAAUAUGUCCCCAAAGCUGAACAGUAGUAGGAAGAAAAAAGUGGUAAAAGAACUCAGUGAUAUCAAAGAAUUGAAGAGGAACAAAAUAAGUAUCAAAGUGGUAAUGACGCAUCAAUUACAAGAAAAAGAAAUGAUUAGCAAAGGAUUGAUGUGAAGAAAUAAAGAGGCAGAAGAUGGAUUCAAUAGCUCACUAAAAUUUUAUAUAUUUGUAUGAUGAUUGUGAACCUCCUGAAUGCCUGAGACUCUAGCAGAAAUGGCCUGUUUGUACAUUUAUAUCUCUUCCUUCUAGUUGGCUGUAUUUCUUACUUUAUCUUCAUUUUUGGCACCUCACAGAACAAAUUAGCCCAUAAAUUCAACACCUGGAGGGUGUGGUUUUGAGGAGGGAUAUGAUUUUAUGGAGAAUGAUAUGGCAAUGUGCCUAACGAUUUUGAUGAAAAGUUUCCCAAGCUACUUCCUACAGUAUUUUGGUCAAUAUUUGGAAUGCGUUUUAGUUCUUCACCUUUUAAAUUAUGUCACUAAACUUUGUAUGAGUUCAAAUAAAUAUUUGACUAAAUGUAAAA
This is an RNA transcript of Homo sapiens (human), 987 nucleotides long. It is a transcript of the gene named small muscle protein X-linked, with no coding region annotated. The transcript is spliced from 6 exons. The record is from RefSeq and is marked reviewed. NCBI's taxonomy places the organism in Eukaryota, Metazoa, Chordata, Mammalia, Primates, Hominidae.